Molecule: long non-coding RNA, 252 nt
Organism: Lolium rigidum
Lineage: Eukaryota; Viridiplantae; Streptophyta; Magnoliopsida; Poales; Poaceae
Exons: 3
Source: RefSeq, a predicted model, not a curated record
AAAGAAGGAGCAAUCAAGUCGCUCAACUAGAGGUGCAUCUUCCAGGGGAUUCCCUCGAGGAAUGGGGGCCAGUAUAGAUGACAUCCUCGAUGGCCCUUACCGGAUGGUGGCAUUCAGCGACCUAGAGGUUAUGGCAGCUCUUCAUGAUGUGAUGAGCUACCCUGCCAACUUGCCUAGCACCAAGCAAACCCGAAGGUGGAUCCCAUCAAAAAGAAGAUGAUGUCCCAGAGAAUGUCAUGGGAAAUAGAUGAA